RNAcentral lists this ribosomal RNA (256 nucleotides) under uncultured bacterium. RNAcentral describes it as "partial 16S ribosomal RNA". It matches the Rfam family "Bacterial small subunit ribosomal RNA", at positions 524 to 776 of the family's 1533-position model. The record is from RNAcentral.
GACAGAGGGUGCAAGCGUUGUUCGGAAUUAUUGGGCGUAAAGCGCGUGUAGGCGGCCGUGCAAGUCGGGUGGUGAAAGCCCUCGGCUCAACCGAGGAAGUGCGCCCGAAACUGCAUGGCUUGAGUACCGGAGAGGAUGGCGGAAUUCCCCAAGUAGAGGUGAAAUUCGUAGAUAUGGGGAGGAACACCGGGUGGCGAAGGCGGCCAUCUGGACGGAUACGUGACGCUGAGACGCGAAAGCGUGGGGAGCAAACAGG